This 332-nucleotide small RNA is filed under the name Arabidopsis thaliana (thale cress). RNAcentral's name for it is "ATSL161220". The record is from RNAcentral. Lineage: Eukaryota; Viridiplantae; Streptophyta; Magnoliopsida; Brassicales; Brassicaceae.
UAACUAGGUUAGUAUCCGUGCUAUGCAUGAUAUCUUUGGUUUAAUCAAUCAUUCAAUCUCAGUUCUGUGUAUUCCACAGAAACUCUACUAUAUUUUCAUUAUCUUUAAACAUGUAGUUGUUUAUCAUGUAUUAUUGGCACCAACUAAAUAUAUUUAGUCUGGUCAAACCAUAUUUUGUUUAGUAUAUGUAGUUUCCUCGGUUUGUAGCAUGGAAAAUAUAUGUCUAUAGUUGGUAUGUACGUUUGGAAACGUAAUUGUAUAUUUUGUAUAUGUAUAUGUACACAUAGUAGAUUUGUAUAAUUUUCGUGUAUGUCAUUAACAUGUAAGUGAAU